CGGGGAGCUGGGGCCGUCCCCGUGCCGUCCUCCCGCAGCACGAGCCGCACCAUGGCCCCGCCGCAGCUGCAGGUUCCCGCUGGAGGUGGGAAGGGGCUGCCAAGAGCCAUCACCCUCCCGCAGAAAUGCUCCGGGGUCUGGAACCAAUUAUUCUCUGGGCCCAGGAAUUAGCACAUUACAAAGGCAAAAUGACUUCAAGAACCUGGAAUGGGAUCAGUUUUUGCUCAAAUUGUCACCUGCUGACCCUGCCCCUACCCUCGGUGCGGGGAGGGGAGGCUGCAGGGCAGCUGCGCAGGGCGCGGGGCCCUUUGAGGGCAGGAAAACCCUCGCCCGCACCCGGCAGCUCCGGGCCGAGGUUACGGAGAGGUGUUGGUGCUCGCUCCCCGCGUCAGAGGAAUUUUUCUCAUUCCCGGCUGAAGCUCUCCAGAGCUCAGCCCCAGCUGAGAAGUGACCCGGGGCUGCCACGCGCACCCUGCCCAGCGCCCAGGCGCACCCGGGUGCUUCCCACCCAAAAGCAGAUUCUGGAAAAGCAGGUUCUGCCCCAAAUGGCUGCGGGUGCUCGGGGUGAGCUGCCCGUGGCUUCUGCAAUCCCAUCCCCUAGAUCCCAAACAUGCCUUCCUGAGCCCAGCCAACCCAGGGGCGGGUGCCUGGGGGGCACCCGGCGGCCCCGGUGGUCUCAUCCCCACGCCACCCGGGACAGUGCGUGGGUGAACCUGGGGGCUGUGCUGCCCCGUGCCCUGCGUGACCGGACCCCCCCCCCGCCUCCGCAGCCACCUCCUGGCUCCAGCUGGAGAGAAAUCCUGCUCUCGCCUCGCGACCGAGCUAAGCGAGCUGGAGAAAAUCAACACGGGAUUUGCAUUAACAGCAGUCGCUACAACAAGAGCGCAGCCAAGCACAAUAUUGGGAACCCAGUUUCCCCUCCGUCCUUAGUGCUUCCAGAUGGAGCCCCUCGCGCAGACCAAAGGGUAGGGGCACAGCCACAGCUCGGCUCUCAGCACGGAUGCUUUCUGCAGCCCCGGCCCCGGGGGGGGGUGAGGAGGGACAGAUCUGCCCUUUGUUCGAGCUCCCAGCCCCGCGCCAAAGCAGCAGAGAGACCUGCAGCUUCCCCAGCUUCCAAAGCAGCAGAUUUAUUUCCGCUUACAUCAGAGAAAGUUUUUUUUUUAAAAAAAAAAAGAGAGAGAGAGAGAAAUAGAUCAGGAUAUUCUGUAGGUCCCGCGGGCUCUGUAUAGGGGAAGACAUCCUUGGAAUAACAUCACUGGCCCCAGCGCUGCCUGCUGAGGCCAGCCAGGACCCGGCCUCUCUGGGCACUAAAAUCACUCUAGCAGAGUGCUAAAAAUAUUCACGACCCAGGAGGGAGUCGUCACCACCGAGCGGGCCCCAGGUAUUAAGUAGGUAGCAAGACCUGGCACGGGCUGCUUGGCUUACACCUAGGCACACGCGCUUGUGCUUGCCAUCAGAGCAAAGAUGUUCCCGAGGCAGGGGCCAGACCCCGCCGGCUGGCUCGACGCCCGCGCCCCCUGCCAGGAAAGCCCUUCC
RNAcentral lists this long non-coding RNA (1536 nucleotides) under Anser brachyrhynchus (Pink-footed goose). RNAcentral describes it as "lncRNA (ENSABRG00000001676.1)". Lineage: Eukaryota; Metazoa; Chordata; Aves; Anseriformes; Anatidae. The record is from RNAcentral.